Sciurus carolinensis (gray squirrel) is the source of this 105-nucleotide small nuclear RNA. NCBI's taxonomy places the organism in Eukaryota, Metazoa, Chordata, Mammalia, Rodentia, Sciuridae. The record is from RefSeq and is a predicted model, not a curated record.
GUGCUGGCUUUGGCAGCACGUAUGCUAACAUUGGAAUGAUACAGAGAAGAUUAGCACCACCCACCCCAAGGAUGAGUACAAAUCCCUAAAGGGUUCCUUAUUUAA